GACGAACGCUGGCGGCGUGCUUAACACAUGCAAGUCGAACGAAGAGCGACGGAAGCUUGCUUCUAUCAAUCUUAGUGGCGAACGGGUGAGUAACGCGUAAUCAACCUGCCCUUCAGAGGGGGACAACAGUUGGAAACGACUGCUAAUACCGCAUACGAUCUAACCUCGGCAUCGAGGAUAGAUGAAAGGUGGCCUCUACAUGUAAGCUAUCACUGAAGGAGGGGAUUGCGUCUGAUUAGCUAGUUGGAGGGGUAACGGCCCACCAAGGCGAUGAUCAGUAGCCGGUCUGAGAGGAUGAACGGCCACAUUGGGACUGAGACACGGCCCAGACUCCUACGGGAGGCAGCAGUGGGGAAUCUUCCGCAAUGGACGAAAGUCUGACGGAGCAACGCCGCGUGAGUGAUGACGGCCUUCGGGUUGUAGAGCUCUGUUAAUCGGGACGAAAGGCCUUCUUGCGAAUAGUGAGAAGGAUUGACGGUACCGGAAUAGAAAGCCACGGCUAACUACGUG
This 510-nucleotide ribosomal RNA is filed under the name uncultured bacterium. Its description in RNAcentral is "partial 16S ribosomal RNA". It matches the Rfam family "Bacterial small subunit ribosomal RNA", at positions 28 to 507 of the family's 1533-position model. The record is from RNAcentral.